GCGUAUGACAAAACGCAUCGCAUUCUCAACAUCACCGUCAACUCUCACCACUCACACGAUUCUCCUCGUUUGCUC
Molecule: transfer RNA, 75 nt
Filed under: Diaphanoeca grandis
Lineage: Eukaryota; Choanoflagellata; Acanthoecida; Stephanoecidae
Source: RNAcentral